AGUAUUUUAGCUCAGCUGGUAAGAGCACAGUGCUGAUAAUACCAAUGCCAUGGGUUUGAUCCCCAUAUAGGUGCAUAUUU
Podarcis lilfordi (Lilford's wall lizard) is the source of this 80-nucleotide non-coding RNA. NCBI's taxonomy places the organism in Eukaryota, Metazoa, Chordata, Lepidosauria, Squamata, Lacertidae. The record is from the annotation of a GenBank genome assembly.